GGAGCAAUCCAGACGACCGCAGGAUCGGAUUCCGAUCCUGAGGAAAGUCCGAACACCGCAGGGCAGGGUGCUCCAUAACGUGGAGUCGCGGCGACGCGAAGGAAAGUGCAACAGAAAGUAUACCGCCCUGCUUUUUUAGCAGGGUAAGGGUGAAAAGGUGCGGUAAGAGCGCACCAGUUCUCCGGGUGACCGGGGAAGCUUUGUAAACCCCAUCCGGUGCAAGACCAAAUAGGGGAGUGUCUGAGGGCUGCCCGUCCGAGCUCCCGGGUAGGUCGCAUGAGGUGCAGGGCAAUCUGCAUCCUAGAUGAAUGGUCGUCGUCCGUUUUGGGGUAACCCGGAACGGAAACAGAAUUCGGCUUACGGGUUGCUCCGGCC
RNAcentral lists this RNase P RNA (375 nucleotides) under Desulfobacteraceae bacterium. RNAcentral describes it as "RNase P RNA component class A". It matches the Rfam family "Bacterial RNase P class A". Rfam says of the family: Ribonuclease P (RNase P) is a ubiquitous endoribonuclease, found in archaea, bacteria and eukarya as well as chloroplasts and mitochondria. Lineage: Bacteria; Pseudomonadati; Thermodesulfobacteriota; Desulfobacteria; Desulfobacterales; Desulfobacteraceae. The record is from RNAcentral.